RNAcentral lists this ribosomal RNA (433 nucleotides) under uncultured bacterium. RNAcentral describes it as "partial 16S ribosomal RNA". It matches the Rfam family "Bacterial small subunit ribosomal RNA", at positions 29 to 507 of the family's 1533-position model. The record is from RNAcentral.
AACGAACGCUGGCGGCAUGCCUAACACAUGCAAGUCGAACGAGACCUUCGGGUCUAGUGGCGCACGGGUGCGUAACGCGUGGGAAUCUGCCCUUGGGUUCGGAAUAACAGUUGGAAACGACUGCUAAUACCGGAUGAUGACGUAAGUCCAAAGAUUUAUCGCCCAAGGAUGAGCCCGCGUAGGAUUAGCUAGUUGGUGAGGUAAAGGCUCACCAAGGCGACGAUCCUUAGCUGGUCUGAGAGGAUGAUCAGCCACACUGGGACUGAGACACGGCCCAGACUCCUACGGGAGGCAGCAGUGGGGAAUAUUGGACAACGGGCGAAAGCUUGAUCCAGCAAUGCCGCGUGAGUGAUGAAGGCCUUAGGGUUGUAAAGCUCUUUUACCCGGGAUGAUAAUGACAGUACCGGGAGAAUAAGCACCGGCUAACUACGUG